Molecule: ribosomal RNA, 305 nt
Filed under: uncultured bacterium
Lineage: Bacteria
Description: bacterial SSU rRNA
Rfam family: Bacterial small subunit ribosomal RNA
Source: RNAcentral
UUUGCCUACGGGAGGCAGCAGUCGGGAAUAUUGCGCAAUGGAGGAAACUCUGACGCAGUGACGCCACGUAUAGGAGGAAGGUUUUCGGAUUGUAAACUAUUGUCGUGAGGGAAGAAAUUGACAGUACCUCAGGAGGAAGCUCCGGCUAACUAUGUGCCAGCAGCCGCGGUAAUACAUAGGGAGCAAGCGUUAUCCGGAUUUAUUGGGUGUAAAGGGUGCGUAGACGGGAAAUUAAGUUAGUUGUGAAAUCCCUCGGCUUAACUGAGGAACUGCUACUAAAACUAUAUAUCUUGAGUACUGGAUGG